This 269-nucleotide ribosomal RNA is filed under the name uncultured Planctomycetales bacterium. RNAcentral describes it as "partial 16S ribosomal RNA". It matches the Rfam family "Bacterial small subunit ribosomal RNA", at positions 565 to 832 of the family's 1533-position model. Lineage: Bacteria; Pseudomonadati; Planctomycetota; Planctomycetia; Planctomycetales. The record is from RNAcentral.
GAGCACGUAGGUGGGUUUGUAAGUCAGAUGUGAAAGCCUUCUGUUCAACGGAAGAAUUGCAUCUGAAACUGCGAGUCUUGAGUGUAGGAGGGGAGAAUGGAACUUCUGGUGGAGCGGGGAAAUGCGUAGAUAUCAGAAGGAACUCCGGCGGCGAAAGCGAUUCUCUGGCCUAUUACUGACACUCAGUGUGCGAAAGCUAGGGGAGCAAACGGGAUUAGAUACCCCGGUAGUCCUAGCCGUAAACGAUGGGCACUAAGUAGAGGGGUUUU